This 497-nucleotide ribosomal RNA is filed under the name uncultured bacterium. RNAcentral's name for it is "partial 16S ribosomal RNA". It matches the Rfam family "Bacterial small subunit ribosomal RNA", at positions 28 to 507 of the family's 1533-position model. The record is from RNAcentral.
GAUGAACGCUGGCGGCGUGCCUAAUACAUGCAAGUCGAGCGAACGGACGAGAAGCUUGCUUCUCUGAUGUUAGCGGCGGACGGGUGAGUAACACGUGGAUAACCUACCUAUAAGACUGGGAUAACUUCGGGAAACCGUAGCUAAUACCGGAUAAUAUUUUGAACCGCAUGGUUCAAAAGUGAAAGACGGUCUUGCUGUCACUUAUAGAUGGAUCCGCGCUGCAUUAGCUAGUUGGUAAGGUAACGGCUUACCAAGGCAACGAUGCAUAGCCGACCUGAGAGGGUGAUCGGCCACACUGGAACUGAGACACGGUCCAGACUCCUACGGGAGGCAGCAGUAGGGAAUCUUCCGCAAAGGGCGAAAGCCUGACGGAGCAACGCCGCGUGAGUGAUGAAGGUCUUCAGAUCGUAAAACUCUGUUAUUAGGGAAGAACAUAUGUGUAAGUAACUGUGCACAUCUUGACGGUACCUAAUCAGAAAGCCACGGCUAACUACGUG